Molecule: non-coding RNA, 5897 nt
Organism: Nothobranchius furzeri (turquoise killifish)
Lineage: Eukaryota; Metazoa; Chordata; Actinopteri; Cyprinodontiformes; Nothobranchiidae
Source: RefSeq, a predicted model, not a curated record
UUUACUAUCCCUGUUCUCUGUUUGAGACACUGCUGCCGUUAAAUUGACUUGAGCACCACACAAGUCUGUCAAAUUUAAGAUAAUUUUGUCUUUGUUAAGGUAAUUUUUACUUUCCCCUGAAAAUAAACGAAACAAAUAUCUGCUUGGUAUUUAAACGUCUUGUAAAAUAAACUAAUCACCAACAGAGGGCAGUGUAGCUCUUUGAUGCCUUUAAACUCCCAUCAGCCACCAGAAUAUUUACCUGUUCAUGGCGACAGAAAACACAGGAUGAAAUCCUUCCACACCCUUGGUGUUGUUGUUGCCAUACACGUUUUGUAAUGCGAAAUAUGUAACACACAGGGAUUCGAAGGAUCUUGUCAUGAAAGUUUUAUAAAAAAAAGAGACUUGAGAGAUUUGGAUGAGAUGUUCUGGUGUAUAGAAAAUGUAAGCAGCUCCUUCACAACACAAACCGCGGAAACCGUGUAUUAUGGUUUUGCUGCAGGGUGAUACAUGGCAAACAACAUUAAACUUAUUUCUGAUCCCUGAAUUCCAUCUUUUUUCUUUACAGCACCAGAAGACAGCAACUCUUUAUAUCCCUCUAUUAUAAAAAUGGGACUGUCAGUAUGGACAGAAUGUUUUCAUCAAGUUUUUAAAAACGUGGAAAAACAGUUUUGUCAUUUGACAGCAGCAGUAUAUCAUAGUUAAACUGCUUUUUAGCCUUCAGAUGGUUUUGGCUCACAUAUCAAACUCCCGAUAGUGAUGUUCCAAGAUCACGAGAAAGGCAAAAUCAUUACAGAGAUGUUGAAAACAAAAAAACAUAUCCAGAAUUGAACUUUCUAAGAUUCUUUACUCAAAUAUGUAAAUGAUACACAAGGUUACUGGGUUAUUUAAGGAAAAAAUGCUGUUUGAUUUCAGAUAAACUCACAAAUCAUGGUCAUGUGCACUUUGCACAUAAGUUAGAUUUGCAAACUGAAUUUAGCUAACAUUUGCAUGAUUAUUGCACUGAGUAUAACAUUUUCACCAACCUUAUUUGACUUUGCUGGAACAGCUGUGCAGUUGCGAACUAGACAGGAAAUCUCAGGUCCUCCGGUGGAAUAAAGGUGAAGACUCGGAAGGUCUGGAAUCAGACGUUAAAUCAACAUGCUUCUGAGAUAAAAGAGCAUCACUCACAGAAACAACAGACAGGUGGCAUCGUCCAUAAAUCUGACAGAAGCCAAGCGAGCACGGUCAACCCAAUGACACACUGCAGCUUAAACUACUUGGAAUAUUAGUCAUAGUUGCAUCUACACAUAACAAGGAAGCAUGCUUUUGGAAAAAUUCACAUGAAACUAAAUCAGCUUUACAUUUAAAUCUGUGUAUUUUCAAAAUAAUUACAAAUUACAACACAGAGCAGUUCUUACAGUAUUUGCUUUAAAGGCCGGAGGUCCAAAGGUUGCAGUGUCACGCAUUCAAAAUAAUCCAAAUCUCUUCUGCAGUCACAUCUAAUUCCCUUUGUUAACUUCUCUGAUGUCAAUCACCAAUGGCUGCUCUAAAUGUGGUCUCUGCAUUCUUUCACGCCACCCUGAACAUGAUGAUUAAAGCAAAUAAAUCCCCCUCUGGCUGAUCAAACAUUGUUUUGAUUUACUCUGUACCUCACCGGGAAGAAAAUGUGACAGGAACAGAUGUCUGUGUAUUUUCUUUCUGGUUAUUAUAAGAAUGUUUUGAAGACGAAGGGAAGCAGUAAUUUGAUCCCAUCAUCUCACAGCUUUGCUAUCUUAAUGCCCUGCUGAUAAAAUGUCAGGUAGAUGGUGGCAAAGCUAUUAACUUCACGGUUACAAACGGCUGUCUUCACCAGCUUGGCAUUUUGAUGAUCUGCUACUCAGCUUGUAAACAGUAAACAAAGUGCUGUCUUUUUCUGAGUCUAGGCUUUUUACACUUCUGACCUUGUUGAGUUCAUGUGUUAACGUGUUAAAAUAAAUCAUUGUGGUUUGUAGCUCAUGUUUUGAGCAAGAUGACGCAGGAUCAAUUUUCAUUUGUCCUGUUUUUUGUAUAAAAAUGUAAAAAUAUAUCUUUAAAGGUGCACAAAGUAAGAAUUACAUCUUGUGGUCAAAUGUGGGUACUGCAAUCCAUUUUCAAAACAGAAGAAGCUUUCUCACUCUUGUUUGUGAGUUUCAUGGCUGUUACAGAUCAGCACCAUGACAUUCUAGAUGACAAACGAAGACAAGUCAUCCACAUUAAAUCAAUGAAUACAUUAAACAAUACAUUUUAUAGUACAAUUGAGUUGUUGGUAAUUGAAAAAGUGCCAUGGUCCGUGGUGAGCUUCCUGCCGGUAACCCUGUUUUCCUCUGAGCGUUGCUCACAGGUGGGCGUGUCUGAGAGCUUCCAGCUGCAGCUAAUCCUGUCAUCAAGGUCCAGGGGAUUUAAGGAGCAGUGUGACACUUCACUCCGCCAGAUGAUUACUCUGUUUUGGGUUUUUGCUCCACACUCCAUUAUUCCAUAUCCACCCGGACUUCUACAACCUGAUCACACUGCCUCCUCCUCUGGCCGUCCGCUCUCAGCCGCUCACCUGCACUCAUCAACCUCCGCUCCUUUCUCACCUCUGGAUCAAACUGUUACUUCACCUUCUGGAUCUCCCCAGCUCACCCGAACCUGACCUAAUCCUCCCCGAGCCUCUCACCACUACCUGCAAUCAAGUCUCCUCCUGGAAUCUUGCUGCCAGUCCUGCACUUCGUCGGUUCCCGUUUCUCCCUUUACUCCUCAUUUAAUAAUAAAGAACGUUUUUACAUACUUACCGGUUCUCUGUGUUGUGAUUCUGCAUGUCGUGGGUCAAGAAACUGCCACCCACCUUGACAAAAAGUAACUUGAGACGUUUUUAAAGCCGACUAUUCGCAGGGCUGCAAACUAUCACACAUUGAGUGUGCGACAAACUUCUGACUACCUUCACACGCUCUCACAUCACACCUUCAGUAUGGAGCCUGAGUCACGCCUAUCUCAGAAAAUAACUUUAAUGGCCAUUUGGGAAUAUACUUGCUUUGUAAUGAUGCGUACGUGUGUUUAAAAUGGCAGCCUUGCAUAACUUGUGUGUAAUUGAAGCAUCGUAUGAGAGUGUCCUUCAAAAUUAAUGCCACGAAUUCGCAUGCUGCAAUAUACGAGUAACCAGAGGGCAGAGAUGACAAAACGGGCAAGACACACUUGCCAUGGUCACACCGUCUCUGGCUUAAAGUUAUUUCUAUCUGCAACAAUGCUGCUGUCUUUUUUUCUUCCAUGAUCCUAAAAUGAACCAGUUACUAAUCUCUAUUGACACCAUGUUUGUUUUGGUUGCACCCUACAAACCCGAGACUCCAUCUGGUCUGAGUUCUCUACUGUGCCGCCUAGUGGAAAACUCUAGUACUAUGUGUAGUGCAGCAGCAAUUUUGUAAACAAUGCCUGCUGCCAGUGUCAAUGCAACGUUAAAAAGCUCCCUAUUCUCACUGAAAAGGCGAGUCCCCCUGUUACAUGUGAGGCCCGGCAUGAGGCCUCCCGCCGUAGACAACGAAAGGAUAUCACAGGAGCGCAUGCUCCUUCCCCCAUUUGGCAGACUUGUAGUGACCCUUUGCACCAACGUCACCUAAUCACGUGGGUCCACUAUGCUGGACGGCAAAAGCAUGUAAACAGUAAGCGACACGAGUACCAAACAAAGAGAAAAGUAGAGCUUGAAAUUGUUUUGCGAUCAAAACAAAAACAAAACUCCUCCAGCAUUCCUUCAACUAGUUCAUGCCCAGUUCAGUUAUCAGAAGAAGUAGCACAUCUAGCCGGGGCUCAUAGAGAGCGUAUGUUAACUAGCUUACCAACGUUAGCUUACGUUCUCUCUGCAGCUGUUCAUCGAUGUAAACGUGUUGCUGACUUUGCCUAAAUUCACCCCUCUGGAUUUAUAACUUUAUGUUAUAAACAGCGUUUUACUUUACACCAAAGCUGAUUUUUAAAAAGUCCAGAUCCCUACCGGCUUCUGUUGCUGGUGGUGUUACCGGGUUCAGCUGCUGCUCUCACACCGGAAUGAGAAGAUCUCUGAACGGCAACGCUCAUAUAAAUAAAUAACGAAAUUUUAACACACGUAAUCAUACAUCGGGGCUUUAAUAUGGUUAAUAAUUGUCUCGCUUUACACUACAGUCGAUGGAGCACACCCUCCAUGGUGAAAUACCCAUCCAUCAGGAUUAUCAAUAACUAGUAUUAACACAUCACAUUUAUCCCUGUCGCUGUCUUCCUCAUGAAAUAAAUGAACGUUAAUCUUACCCGGUAAAAACGUGUUCGCUGCAAAUCUGAGGGCUGCUAGUCCACUUGAUUGAUUGCUGCAGUUCAUCUCCGUCCUCAGUCUCCAUCAAAGUUAUUAAAAAAACAAAACGAGUUGAGUUUACGUCCUUGUCUGUUAGUGCAGCCAACCACGCAGCAAGCUAAAACCAUUUUACUGUCAAAUCAACUAAAUUAAAGCGAGAAAAGGCUACAAACUGGCUUGUUUUGACUAGCUUCACUGGAGAUUCAACGGGUGUAAACAGUCAUUUUGCCGCCCAUCAUGGCGAAGGGGGCGGUCACAUGAGUGGCGUGACAUCACGUGCAAAGGGUCAAUAGGGAGCCUAAGUCUCCUCCCUUUCCGGUUGGCUCAUGGGUCUUGACUGCAAGUCAAUGGGGCUAACGGAGCUAUUUUCUAAUCUGUAUUGCCUUCCACCCUGGAUCGCACACAUGUUCUAUUUAAAUGAAAAGUAAUGAAGUGUUUUUCGACCACACCAGUCAAGUACUUUGAGAUUUAUCAGCUUGUAAAAGUUCAUAAUUAGCAUGAUUACAAAUCAGACAUUGGCACGUCACAUAUAAUACGUCUCCACAGAAUCCUGUCCCCUAGCUUAGCUGCUACUCACCAAAUGGCCAAAUAGUUCCUUCCUCCUGAAGGAAGGAUUUGGAGUUUGCUGAACUUACAGUCAUUUUCCUUCUGUUUUUCUCCAUGUCUGAUUCGAUGACAUCACUUUUGUGAAGCACUUUUGUGGUCCUGGACAUAUUUUUGCACAAAACCUAAAAUAACGUUUCACCCUGUUCGAAAAUAAACACUUUCUUGGUGUGAAAAUGCUUCUUUAAAAUUCAUGGACAUCAUAUGUGAAAUCAAUGGCACAUAACAGGCGGAUUUAGAAAAUAACAUUUUUAGCCCCGUUGACUUGCGUUCAUUUUUUCAUUCUUCCGGAGACUCAUGAUAGAUGGGCAUGAAUUAGGCUCCCUAUUUGUUUCUAUUUCCCUGUUUUCACUGGUUUUUCUAGUCUUCUUCGCCUGAUGUUAGAGUAAAACAAAAAGGACGCAAUGACUUCUUAGGAGUACAAGAAAUAACUUAGCUGCUCUUGUUAGGUUUGUUCCAAAAUGUUGCGUUUUGCUGGCUGGUGUUGAAUUGCAAAUGCUGUUUCAGCAGCAUUAGCAGCAACCUCACAGAAUGUAAACAAUGACUACGCCCAUCUUUGGCCUCAUUGAAAGGAAAAAAACUGACAACCCCUCAGUCGACUGAAACCUUUCUUCAAACCGUCCUUCAAACAAAAUUGAGACAUUACACUGCUUAAUGAUUAUUUAACUCUAAAAUUCUUACAUAUUGUAUCUUUAAAAUUGUAAAACAAUAAUACAAACAAUGUAUUAAUUCAUUAUCAAGAGUGCAAAAUUAGAAAAAAGCAGUUGUUAUGGUUUAUUUUAAAGUUUCAUGAUUUUUAAGAAUCAACACUAAAUAUGGGUCAAUACAGAGAUCGAUGUGAGGAGAACAAAAUUAUACAGUGAGUCAUUUCCUUUAUGUCUGGCUGAGUCAAAUAAAGCAGUUCCUCUAGUUGAGACGUCAUAAACGUCAGAAUCGAAGCCACAAUUUUCAGGCCUUCAACUGGCCCAUUAUUCUGCACCGGAUACAUCGAUGGCUUCUCUGCCAAAUGAAAGACCCAAGCAGAUGU